UAGGGGGCAAGCGUUGUCCGGAAUUAUUGGGCGUAAAGAGCUCGUAGGCGGUUAGUCGCGUCGAAUGUGAAAACCCGGGGCUCAACCCCGGGCCUGCAUUCGAUACGGGCAGACUAGAGUUCGGUAGGGGAGUCUGGAAUUCCUGGUGUAGCGGUGAAAUGCGCAGAUAUCAGGAGGAACACCGGUGGCGAAGGCGGGACUCUGGGCCGAUACUGACGCUGAGGAGCGAAAGCGUGGGGAGCAAACAGG
Molecule: ribosomal RNA, 249 nt
Filed under: uncultured bacterium
Lineage: Bacteria
Description: partial 16S ribosomal RNA
Rfam family: Bacterial small subunit ribosomal RNA
Source: RNAcentral